GUACGGGAGGCAGCAGUGGGGAAUAUUGCGCAAUGGGGGAAACCCUGACGCAGCAACGCCGCGUGAGUGAAGAAGGCCUUCGGGUCGUAAAGCUCUGUCUUCGCUGACGAUAAUGACGGUAAGCGAGGAGGAAGCCACGGCUAACUACGUGCCAGCAGCCGCGGUAAUACGUAGGUGGCGAGCGUUGUCCGGAAUUACUGGGCGUAAAGGGUGCGUAGGCGGAUAUUUAAGUCAGAUGUGAAAUUCCAGGGCUUAACCCUGGAACUGCAUUUGAAACUGGGUAUCUAGAGUGCAGGAGAGGAAAGCGGAAUUCCUAGUGUAGCGGUGAAAUGCGUAGAUAUUAGGAAGAACACCAGUGGCGAAGGCGGCUUUCUGGACUGUAACUGACGCUGAGGCACGAAAGCGUGGGGAGCAAACAGGAUUAGAUACCCCGGUAGC
RNAcentral lists this ribosomal RNA (438 nucleotides) under uncultured bacterium. RNAcentral's name for it is "bacterial SSU rRNA". It matches the Rfam family "Bacterial small subunit ribosomal RNA", at positions 339 to 794 of the family's 1533-position model. The record is from RNAcentral.